AACAGUCCCAUUCCUCGUUCCAAAUGCAGCCGAAAACGGUCAGAUUUACGCGUAACAGUUACAUGAACAAAACAGCUAAAAAAAGACGAACCAAAAACAACCCAACUACACUGCACAACAAGGAAAAGACUAGCCAAGAGCUAGCUCAGGAAACUCGUGCGCUCGCCACGGGUGGAGAAGGCUACCUAGGUGCUAGGACGUACCCUAAAACUAGCCGAGAAUCACACGUUGGCGAUCUCCGUAUGUAUGUGAAAACUAUCCUGCCGGCAUGUGACUCCUCACCAACCUGUCCAAUGCAAGCGUCAGUGUUGUGUGAUGGAUUGCAAGCAAGAGCAACCAGUCAGAUUUGAUGUAGAUGCUGUUUCUGGCGAUGCAUCAUUGAACUUUGCAGCUUGACAGAUCCAUGCAUCCGGGUAUUCAUGGG
This 424-nucleotide long non-coding RNA is filed under the name Setaria italica (foxtail millet). RNAcentral describes it as "long non-coding RNA (SITA_LNC000207)". The record is from RNAcentral. Lineage: Eukaryota; Viridiplantae; Streptophyta; Magnoliopsida; Poales; Poaceae.